Molecule: unclassified non-coding RNA, 89 nt
Filed under: Pseudomonas kilonensis
Lineage: Bacteria; Pseudomonadati; Pseudomonadota; Gammaproteobacteria; Pseudomonadales; Pseudomonadaceae
Source: RNAcentral
UGUGGGAGCGAGCUUGCUCGCGAUGACGGCGGCACAUUCAACAUCACCAUCUCUGGCAGACCGCUAUCGCGAGCAAGCUCGCUCCCACA